This 541-nucleotide ribosomal RNA is filed under the name uncultured bacterium. RNAcentral describes it as "partial 16S ribosomal RNA". It matches the Rfam family "Bacterial small subunit ribosomal RNA", at positions 355 to 896 of the family's 1533-position model. The record is from RNAcentral.
UAAGGAAUAUUGGUCAAUGGACGCAAGUCUGAACCAGCCAUGCCGCGUGAAGGAUUAAGGUCCUCUGGAUUGUAAACUUCUUUUAUCUGGGACGAAAAAAGGCGAUUCUUCGUCACUUGACGGUACCAGAUGAAUAAGCACCGGCUAACUCCGUGCCAGCAGCCGCGGUAAUACGGAGGGUGCAAGCGUUAUCCGGAUUCACUGGGUUUAAAGGGUGCGUAGGCGGGCAGGUAAGUCAGUGGUGAAAUCCUAGAGCUUAACUCUAGAACUGCCAUUGAUACUAUCUGUCUUGAAUAUUGUGGAGGUAAGCGGAAUAUGUCAUGUAGCGGUGAAAUGCUUAGAUAUGACAUAGAACACCUAUUGCGAAGGCAGCUUACUACGCAUAUAUUGACGCUGAGGCACGAAAGCGUGGGGAUCAAACAGGAUUAGAUACCCUGGUAGUCCACGCCCUAAACGAUGAUUACUCGACAUUUGUGAUACACUAUAAGUGUCUGAGCGAAAGCAUUAANUAAUCCACCUGGGAAGUACGACCGCAAGGUUG